UGUAAAGACCAACGAUAAGGAGUCACUUCC
Molecule: non-coding RNA, 30 nt
Filed under: Mus musculus (house mouse)
Lineage: Eukaryota; Metazoa; Chordata; Mammalia; Rodentia; Muridae
Source: RNAcentral